Long non-coding RNA from Xyrauchen texanus (razorback sucker), 3363 nucleotides. RefSeq lists it as uncharacterized. The transcript has 3 exons. NCBI's taxonomy places the organism in Eukaryota, Metazoa, Chordata, Actinopteri, Cypriniformes, Catostomidae. The record is from RefSeq and is a predicted model, not a curated record.
UUGCAUUUAACUCGUAGUUGUAGUUGUAUAGUGUUCUGUUAAGUGUUGUGUCUGCUGAGUAGGCAGAGUUAUUAGGAAGUUUCGCGAGUUCGGUGAAGUGAGGCGAGAUCAGAUAUGAGGCAAUAGAAGAAAGAAAGAAGAAAUGUAGUGCAUGUUAUAUCGUGAGUCAACGAGGUGAGGUGGAUUAAGAUUAUAAAGCUAUCGAUCGACACUAUAGCACUUAGGUGGUGACCAGUUUGCAUUUUAGAUGUGAUGGGCAGUCGAAGUUGUGUGAUCAUUUACAGAGGUCGUUGGUAUUAUCUGGCGAAUAUCAUCGUGUGCGUCAUUGCAGAUUAACCACACAUUCGUACACCGAUAUACAAGUUAUCCACGAUUAUCCAGCUGAACUCUAUCACACAAACCUAUCGCAUACUGAGCCUUGCAGCGCGCGAAGCAACGGGCCUCACGGUUGGAGUUUCAUCACGUUAACCCUAUCCUGACCAGACCGGGAUCCUUGCCGACAUGUAACUGCCUGUUCAACUUUCACUGGUGUAGCGCUCCCCUCAGUAUGUCUAUUGAUGAGGGCAGAGCUUUUGGGUUCUUUUAAGGUAUUUAUCAAAUGUGUUUUACCCUGAUUACCUCAGUUUUAGAUGUUAUCUUGGAUCUCUCUUUUAAAAUACACACAUGAACUAUUUCUCUAACCUACCUAUGAAUUCACCUUUCUUAAGCUAUAGUUUUAAUAAAGAUUUUUAACCAUAAGUGUCUGUAUAUGUCUCUCUCAGAAUAAAAUAAUACCCUCUUUCAAGGUAAGUUCUCAAAUAACACAACACAAGGUUUUGGAAAAAUAAAUAUCAAUUAUUUACUCAAAGAAAUUAUUAUCUCCAAUAAAAUAAGAAAAUGAAAUAAGAAUAUGAUUGUUCUUUUUUAAACCUUCGAUGUAAAAUGUCCCUCUUUUUUAAAGAAAAUAUUAUCAAUACUGUACCAUAUAAAUGCACAGACAACAAUUUAAACCCUAUUAACCUCCAAAUGGAUUAAUUCAGAAAACCUCAGUGUACCACUUAAAAGUAACUUAAACCAACAUGCUUUGUGGGCCCACACACACCUUAAUGCGAUCUAAGCCGGCAACCAAAAAUAUUAUAAAACUAAAAUACCGUAGCAGGCCUGAAGCGGUGCUUGUGUUCGUUGUGGCCCAAAACUUAAUGGCCGUUUCGCUCGUCAGCGAGCAAACAAAAUUAAGGAUAUCUUGAGUUAAUGUUUCUGUCCAGUCCUUACCCCCAUAGUCACAGUAGCAGGCUCAGCAUCCGAUUAGCGUUUCAACACGAACUCCGUUUGUUUAUCUUUUCUCCUCCACGUUUCCAGUAAAACUCAUGAGAGAAGUCCUGGUUGCUCCAAGCUCUGUCUGAGUCUCUUUUCUGUCUUCAGGUCGAAAACAGCGAAUAAACCCCUCGAACUGUUCAACUGAGGGAGUCAAACUUUAAACUAGAAAAUGUCGCUCACAUGUAAUGAACGGACUCCAGCCUAUACUUCAAGUUACUGGACAUUAAUUGGAAAAUAAUCCUCUAAAGGUGAUUUAGAACCGUAAUAGCAAUCAGUGCAUACUACAACAUUCAAUACAACUGCCAUGGAGACGAAAUUCACUGAGAUGGUUACAAGAGUGGGGGAUCAACGGAAGGUCGCUUUUGCACUGAUGUUCCCUGCCAAAUUGAGAACAGAUACUAUGGAUCGCCGCAAAAUAUUUACAUGUCCACAACAAGACAUGUCCUUCAUAAAGUCAAUGGCCUGAGUAAGUUAUUUUGUGGUUCUCACGUUGCUGCCAAGUGAGCCUGACUCACUGAACAUUCACUUGACCUUCCAAGGAAACUGGGCACCUUUUUUGCUUCUUUUUGUGCUGGUUCCGCCUAGCGGCAGGAGUUUGUUUUGUGGAAAAACACUCCUCCUUAUUUGUACUUAUGACUCUAACUGGAAUUUUUUUUGUGGAGUAUUUCUUGCAGGACAUUGGAGUGAUUGGUCGAAUGGGCCGGUCCACUGAACAUUCGUUUGACUGCCUAAGGAAACUAACUGAACAGCUUUUAUUUUUUAUUUAUUUUUGUGCUGGAUCCGCUAGCGGCUGGAGCUUGUUUUGUGGAGGGACACACCUUCAGGACAGUUAUGUGAAUGAACAUACACUUUCUGUGUGUUUAUUCUGCCUAUUGGCAGGAGUUUGUUUUAUAGAUUAUCUUCUGUAGUGUAAUUCUGUCUCACAAAAUUUGUAUAGAAACACCAGACAUGAGCAAUCCGGUGGCAAAUUUUGGGAAGAUAUGGGGUUGACAUGUUUUCUUUAGUGCUUGCUCAAGUAAGAGCAGGGGAGUCAUAACACUGAUAAGUAAGCAUCUACGAUUCAAAUGUCUAAAACUGAUUAAAGAUAAAUUAGGAAGAUUCAUUAUUGACUUAGCAGAAAUUCAGGAGCAAAGGUUGAUUCUGGCUAAUAUUUACACAACUAAUGCUGAUGACCAGGGUUUUUUUAUAGAUCUUGAAGGGAUGUUCCAAGCCGCUGGCACCCUUCGUGAUAUAAUAUUGGGAGGAGACUUUAGUCUUUUAGACUCAAUCCUUGAUCAUAGUGAGGCAAAAGUGUGUAAGCCCCCUAGAGCAUCAUUGACACUUCACAGGAUGAGUAAAUAUCUAGGUCUUACAGAUAUUUGGAGACUUUUGAACCGAUCUGGUAGGGAAUAGAAUUUAUUCUAAAAUAGAUAUUUUUUAUAUAUAACCAAGUCCCUCAUUUCAUCUGUUGUUGAUUGCUCAAUUGGAAACAUUUUAGUCUCAGAUCACACCCUGGUGAGUUUAGAGAUGUUGCCACAUGCAGAGAAAAGGAAACAAUUUAGUUGGCGCUUUAAUGUAUCCCUUUUGCAAAAUCCUGAAUUCCAACAAAAGGCUAAAAUCAAUGUUUAUAUGGAGACCAAUUGGUCCUCUGUAUCCUCUGUGGGCAUGGCUUGGGAGGCACUUAAGGCAGUUCUUAGGGGUCAAAUCAUACAGUAGGCCUCAUUCACUUCAUUCAUUCUCGGGUUUCGUUUUGCCCCAGACUCUGUUUUUAGGCAAUGGGGUGGUCAUCAAAAUAGGGGAUAAACACAUAAAAAAUUGGGUUCUUACAGGUGUUAUGACAGGCAGACGGGGUUUUACGGGGAUGGAAUUCGGCUCGAGUGCCCUCAUUUCGGGAGUGGUGCACAGAGAUGGGGAGGGUGGCAGCUUUUGAGGAGGUGUCAUGUAGAAGGCUGGGGAUCUGGGAUUGAUUUGAUGGGAAAUGGAGCAUUUAUUUGACUUUUUGGGGGACUCUCAGGGAGGGGCUGUGGAGAGAGAGGCAUAGUGUUAGAUGUGUAUGAUUAUUAUUGUGUGUGUGUGUGUGUGUAUUUA